This is a long non-coding RNA of Gasterosteus aculeatus aculeatus (three-spined stickleback), 5643 nucleotides long. Lineage: Eukaryota; Metazoa; Chordata; Actinopteri; Perciformes; Gasterosteidae. The record is from Ensembl.
CCCCACAGCUGCUGCUUUCCCCUUAAGCACUGCAAUGCAGAUGUGUCUCACACAGUGGCAGGAAACUUUCACUGAAGAUGCUCGUGAAAGAGCAACUGGAGAGACAGAGAGAGAGGAGGGAAGGGCAUGAAAGAGAUGCAGUGGGAAUACAUGCCAUACUGCCAGAAGUGACAAUAGGAAGACGGGAAAAAAAAGUUUUUCGUACUUGUGGAAGCAUAUGGUGGAGAAAAAAAACCCCGACAUGGCAACGCUUGAUUCAUGAGGCAAUGAAAGUGAAAUCUUUAGCUUCUUCCCCUGAACAGCUUUACAGAUCUAACUCACUGCCUCACAAAUGAUGUGUUUGGAAGCCCCAGCGUGAUUUUAAAAAGGGGGCAUUCUUUUGGUUCAACAUUAACAUUGAAUUGGGUGGAGCCGGACCCUGUUGAUCCACGCUGUUCGGUUUAUUAUUGCACGCACUUUGAUUAACUGUGGUUGCGCUCAUUUUAAUUGGCAGCAGCAAUUGAUAAUCACAUUUUUGUCUUUUGUCUUUUUACUUUUGGCCUCGGGCUAAAAGUUAAUGGAAUUUCACAAACAGUUUUGGAACAAUUACAUCAGGACUUAAUUUUCCAUGUUAACACAAAUGGGAAAAAGUAAAUGAAAGCCUCUCAACAAGUAUUCACUAAUUCACUGGCUUUCAAUUUUGGAAUGGAAUGCUAUUUACUGUAUAUUUGUACACAAACAAAUAGAGUUGUGUCACAAAAAUAAUGGAUGAAUAUAUUAGCAUCCAAGACAACUUAAACAGAACUGAUGUUCUUAGUAAUGCCAUGUGGUCGAUGCGCUAAGGCAGCAGUGCAUUUGAUGAUGUCUGAUGAAUGUAAAGUAUACAGUACACUAGUGAUUCUAUUUUGCAUUUAAUACCCCUUUACUACGAACGGCUUCUUUUUAUUUUUGGUACGUGUCCGACCUUCCAGGCUGCAAUUUACUACUUACUACUUUUUUGCACUCAAUGUGCAUAUCAUUUUGUAUAAUUUCUACAGUAGUUUUCAUCUUUCUGCUGUUUUUUCUUGUAAUAUUUAAAUUGCCUGCACACCCUCGAGGGAGUCAACGUCAACAAUGCAGGUGUAUACUCCAGUGUUGCUGCCCAUAAUUUGAUCUCAUUGAUAGAAGCCUCCCGUUAACGCUUUGCUCUGCUACAGCCUUAUCAGACUAGUAUUUGUAAAAGCAAACUGAACAUUUUCUGAUGCUGCUGCAUUUUGGGAUUAGUUCCCAACGUUAGCAGUACUUCUGUUCACUGAAAGUGCAUCUACUAGGGGUGUAACGAUUCAUUCACUGAAUCGAUUAAUCGAUUUAUAUUCCUGCGAUCCAACUGAAUCGAUCUGUGCUCCGCAAAUCGGCAUUCCGGACGACAUAUCGAUUACAAAUCGAUUGAAAUGGUACAUAAUCGAUUUGUAUUGAUACUUGGAAACUGCACAUUGGAUUUAAGUACAAAGACGGUAUGGAUGUGUGUUUGUUUGUUUGUUUUUUAGCACUUUAGACACGUUAAACGUUACUGGAUUCAGUCUGCCUGUCUGUGACGUCAUCAGUACGCAGCGGCAGCCGCGCGAAACUCUGAACAACAACAAAACACAGCGUGGAGGAGACGACUGCGAGCGAGACAUUUACAAACCAACUUAUCGAUCCAGCGCGUGGAAACAUUUUGGCUUUUGCAAACACGGAGGUGUUCUAAAUAAGUCGGUCGCUGUUUCAGAAAGUAACUCCAGCUCUGCAGACACCUCAGGCCUCGCCAGCACCAAACUCACCAUCACAGUAACAAUUGCCAAGUUUAUCUGUAAAGACAUGCAACCCUACUAUGUGGUUGAAAAUCCGGGGUUCUGUGAAUUGAUCUAAACAUUGUGUAAUUAUUGUGUUAUGUUUACAUUGAAAAUGGCACUUGAUUCGAAUAAAAGGUUAAUACAUUUGCCAUUAUUGUUGUUUGCUUGUUUAUAAUAUCCAUAAUUAAUUUAAACCUGAUUUCCUUACAAGAAACAACAGGGAUCUCAGGAACUUUGCCUGCACUGUCCAGUAAAGUUACUGAAUCGAUUUCAAGUCACUGAAUUGAAUCGAAUCAUUCUAAAUUAACCCAGAUCGUCCAUGAAUCGAAUCGGCAACCAUGAAUCGUGAUUCGAAUCGAAUCGUUGAGUGAGGUAAAUUAAGAGUCACAGUAUUAGGCCUAUAAGGUGUGUGUGUGUGUGUGUGUGGCAGAUGUAUGAUCUUGUUGGUGUUUUUUGUGUUUCUGGCUGCUUGUUGCCGCGGUUUUGGCAAAUGCAAAGCCUGCACAUGAUGCAUAUGCUGCCCAGCUGUUAUAACGUGAACCACCUAGAAGUCUGAACUAGUGCUCCAUCCCACAGCCCUCCAUCAAUGAUUGUAUAUUUAUUGUCUGUAGCCUAAUUUUGCAAAACAUACCAUGUUUCUGACUAUUCACUGAUCACUUGUGUAGUCUUCCUUUUCAGCUUUGGCAUCAUGCCAUUGCAGCUUUGCAUUUUUUUUCAGACAAAUUUAUUGACCGAUUCAUCUGUUCCUGCUGGUGGUCCCAAACCAGCCUUUUAAGUACACUGCACUGGAUCAGUGGCUUCUGUACAACAAAAUGAGACAAAGUAGGCUGUGGCUGUUUGUUCCUCCCCAGUCUCUCAUAAACACCUUCCUGUCACCGAGUUUCCAGAUGGCCACGCACCUCCAUAUCCCACAGUUCAAAGCUCUAAACAUCCUCGCGCACGCAUUUGCAUUGGGUCACCGCUCACUUCGACACGCUAGACGAAGAGGAGCACUAAUCCUUUCCCGCAUGCCUCCCUGGAAACGGUCUCUAUGCAAAUGUUUCUUGUUUCGGGUGGAUCCAGAGUGAGAGUGUUUUGGUAGCUAGCGUGUGCAUUCAGUGGGGGUGUUUUGCUUUGUCCCAGUAAGUGUGGCUCUUUUGGCAGGUGACCUUCUUAACAGACUUGGUUUAAGGUUUCUUUUUAGGUUUGGGAGGGGUUGUUAGAAAACACAGCGGUGAACUUUAAAAGAUCCGUCUACAGGUCCACACCGGAUUUAUCCUGUAUUUAAUUGCACCGGAGAGCAAUCACUGUCUGCCCUACAAAAUCCUUGGUAAAGCUGCGCUUUACAAUAGAGCCAUAAUUGCAGGAGUUUAAUUGCCUGCCAAUGCUCUGCUCCCACUGCCUGCUUGCAUUGAAGAGCUCAAUAAUUAGAAACAGGGAGAAAUUAGGUGGCAAUUUUGUCUUGGCAAUUAUCAUAAUGCAAAAGAAGUGCCAUUAGUAUUGUUAGCCCCACAGUACAUAAUCCUUUGAAUCUGUCAAGUCCCUCUCGUGGCUGCUGGGUACAACAACUCUUGAUUUCCCAGUAGCCUUUGCACUCCCUCAGUCACUACUUUAGUCAUCAGCUCUGCAGGCCAGCCGGCUCACUGGGAGUCAAACGAGCAGACAGAACACAUCCAUGCCCCGGGUGCUGGGAGGAUUAUAAACUACAGCAUUAGCAGUCUGUGUUUCCUUUAAAGGUAUAUAAAUGGGGUGUUAAUCCUCUUCCACCAUUUCAACCAUGAAAUUGUGUUUGAUAUAACAGAAAAAAACGAAUGCAGCUGACACGUAUUGUAUUUGCACUGCGUUGACAUACCAUUCGGUUUGACUCCCAGGUUGGAUUUGUCCCUGUUUUUUUAAAUUAGUAUAUUGAUGAACACAUGCCGUAUCUUCGAGAGUCGUUAGGAAAUAUGUGACACUUUGUGGUACAUUGAGAGAGCUAACAUUUUACACAUAAAUCAAGGCUUUUAUAUUCACAAAGUCGUGACCUCACACUCUAUCACACUCAUUUUUGUGGUCGAGGGGAAACACAAUUCAGUACGCAUGUUUCCUUUUUCUUAUUUGCAAUGUUUUUAAAAAAAUGAUGUUUGCUUAGCCGUUUAAAACCUGAAUUACCCAAAUCUCCUGAGUAGUGAAAUCCAUAAUUUACAACAUGAUUACUUCUGCGAACGUGCUGCUCCCUUUCGUCAGACUGUAAAGUCACCUUGCCACAUCUUAUUAAGUGUUUUCGUCGCAAUUCUCUAACUCGGUUGUACGGAAGGUUAUAACCAUUUUGUAGCGAGACCACAGGCUUUUGUUGAGCGUCAAACUGCAGGUUGUCGUAUAUAAAUAUAAAGGGGGCGGGAGAAAGGAUGGUGAACGUCAUGUAGCGGAAUCCCUCCACGUGUUUGGCUGUUAAUGCCAUUAGCGCUGCUGUCUGGAGACUCUCUCAUCUUCCUUCAUUACGCAAACUAUUUUAGGUGCUCCGGGACCGUUUUCUAGUUUCCACUCGUGUUGUCUAACAUUUUGUCAUUUUUAUCAUAAUUUUAUACCAUAUAGAGGGUACUGACCAACACACAUCGGAUCUGGACCGUGCAUGUAUUUUAAACACCUUUUUCUUUUCUCUUUCCAGUGUAUAUAUUUGGUAAUGGGCAAUUAUGUUGUCUCAAGUCCACAUGUAUAUUCUUUUUGGCAUAUUGAGAGAAAAAAACAGCCCAGCCCAGAGUAUUUUGACACAGAACAGGGAUGUUUUUGUGCAAAUGUGUAUUUUUUUUGUCCGAUGAAGAAAAACAUGAAGGCCUAUAAACCAUUUCCAGUUUUUCUUUGGUAUAUUGAGCUGAAACUCUUUUAUUAUACCGUCUGCAGUGUAAUGCAACAGUUACCUCCCCAUUUACACCAAUGGGGGCAUGAAAAUAAGAAAUUCUUCACUGUAUAAUUCAACAGCAUCAUGAACUGCAGCCUCCAACAAUUUAAAAAAAACAACCUGUCUGAACAAAAGCUGAAUAUUAUCAGCCCCAUGACUCGUGAAGGUAGGAUUUAUUUUAGGACUGCAGUAAGACUGCAUCAGUUUUAGCAACAAACUGUCACCCAUGUGUAGACGCUUGUCCAUUUCUAAUGCAGGAUUUGUCUACCUUAUCAAAAUUGCAAAGACUUCAAAGAUUAGUCUGAAUGUGAACUUUCCAAAAAUAAUCUUGUGUUUUAUUUUAUUUUUUUAAUUUUAUGUUCCAUUCAGAAAACUGUGCCGGGUUAGUUUGUGCUACACAGCCCUUCAGAGGGUAGAUAUCAAAAACAAAAAGACUUUAAUAGUGAAAAUCUAACAGGGCCAGGGGCAAAAAUGCAGACGGGAACUGGGAACAUCCAAAAACAUUCAACAAUGACACAAGACACACACGGCUUAAAUACACUAGGGAGGUGCAGGUGAUUGGACACAGGUGGAAACAAUCAGACAAUCACAGGGGAUGACAGGACAAGGCAGGAAGUGAAGUUAACCCAGGGACACAAGGGACAGAAAACUACAAAAUAAGACAGGAAAUGAACCCAAACCGUGACAAUUUGAUGAGAAUAGUUUGAUAUUUAUAAAAUAAAAGUUACAAUCCGAGUCAGUAGCACGUAAACCACUUAUAAACACACCAUAUAUUUGGUACAACUAGUGAUAUAACCUAAAAGUAUCUCCAAAGGGCCCAACUUAGAUUUGACCCCAACCCUCACUGGAGGAGGAAGCAGCAUGUGAGCUGUUUGUCGGCGUUUUUCUCUCGGUGAAAAACAAGAGGCGCUAAGACGUGCCUGAAUAAUGAAGAUAAAAUGACUUUGGGAAUCAGGAACUCCUUCACCUUUAACGUUGAACAACUCUCAGUGGCUC